GGCUAUCAGGUUUACUUUGGUGAACCAGCGGAGGGAUCAUUACCGAGUUUACAACUCCCAAACCCCUGUGAACAUACCACUUGUUGCCUCGGCGGAUCAGCCCGCUCCCGGUAAAACGGAACGGCCCGCCAGAGGACCCCUAAACUCUGUUUCUAUAUGUAACUUCUGAGUAAAACCAUAAAUAAAUCAAAACUUUCAACAACGGAUCUCUUGGUUCUGGCAUCGAUGAAGAACGCAGCAAAAUGCGAUAAGUAAUGUGAAUUGCAGAAUUCAGUGAAUCAUCGAAUCUUUGAACGCACAUUGCGCCCGCCAGUAUUCUGGCGGGCAUGCCUGUUCGAGCGUCAUUUCAACCCUCAAGCACAGCUUGGUGUUGGGACUCGCGUUAAUUCGCGUUCCCCAAAUUGAUUGGCGGUCACGUCGAGCUUCCAUAGCGUAGUAGUAAAACCCUCGUUACUGGUAAUCGUCGCGGCCACGCCGUUAAACCCCAACUUCUGAAUGUUGACCUCGGAUCAGGUAGGAAUACC
This 524-nucleotide ribosomal RNA is filed under the name Fusarium oxysporum f. sp. lycopersici. RNAcentral's name for it is "eukaryotic LSU rRNA". The stretch from base 191 to 344 matches the Rfam family "5.8S ribosomal RNA". Lineage: Eukaryota; Fungi; Ascomycota; Sordariomycetes; Hypocreales; Nectriaceae. The record is from RNAcentral.